RNAcentral lists this ribosomal RNA (465 nucleotides) under Vreelandella stevensii. RNAcentral describes it as "partial 16S ribosomal RNA". It matches the Rfam family "Bacterial small subunit ribosomal RNA", at positions 338 to 795 of the family's 1533-position model. The record is from RNAcentral. Lineage: Bacteria; Pseudomonadati; Pseudomonadota; Gammaproteobacteria; Oceanospirillales; Halomonadaceae.
CCUACGGGACGCAGCAGUGGGGAAUAUUGGACAAUGGGCGAAAGCCUGAUCCAGCCAUGCCGCGUGUGUGAAGAAGGCCUUCGGGUUGUAAAGCACUUUCAGUGGGGAAGAAAGCCUUGGGGCUAAUACCCUCGAGGAAGGACAUCACCCACAGAAGAAGCACCGGCUAACUCCGUGCCAGCAGCCGCGGUAAUACGGAGGGUGCGAGCGUUAAUCGGAAUUACUGGGCGUAAAGCGCGCGUAGGCGGUCUGAUAAGCCGGUUGUGAAAGCCCCGGGCUCAACCUGGGAACGGCAUCCGGAACUGUCAGGCUAGAGUGCAGGAGAGGAAGGUAGAAUUCCCGGUGUAGCGGUGAAAUGCGUAGAGAUCGGGAGGAAUACCAGUGGCGAAGGCGGCCUUCUGGACUGACACUGACGCUGAGGUGCGAAAGCGUGGGUAGCAAACAGGAUUAGAUACCCCUGUAGUC